RNAcentral lists this ribosomal RNA (402 nucleotides) under uncultured prokaryote. RNAcentral describes it as "bacterial SSU rRNA". It matches the Rfam family "Bacterial small subunit ribosomal RNA", at positions 355 to 774 of the family's 1533-position model. The record is from RNAcentral.
UGGGGAAUAUUGGUAAUGGGCGAAAGCCCGAACCAGCAACGCCGCGUGCGCGAUGAAGGCCUUCGGGUUGUAAAGCGCUUUUUAAGGGGAUGAGGAAGGACAGUACUCUUAGAAUAAGUCUCGGCUAACUACGUGCCAGCAGCCGCGGUAACACGUAGGAGGCAAACGUUAUCCGGAUUUACUGGGCGUAAAGCGCGUGUAGGUGGUUCUGUAAGUAGGGCGUGAAAGCUCCUGGCUCAACUGGGAGAGGCCGUUCUAAACUACAGAACUAGAGGAUGGUAGAGGGAGGUGGAAUUCCAGGUGUAGCGGUGGAAUGCGUAGAUAUCCGGAGGAACACCAGUGGCGAAAGCGGCCUCCUAGACCAUUUCUGACGCUAAGACGCGAAAGCUAGGGUAGCAAACG